RNAcentral lists this ribosomal RNA (569 nucleotides) under uncultured soil bacterium. RNAcentral describes it as "bacterial SSU rRNA". It matches the Rfam family "Bacterial small subunit ribosomal RNA", at positions 337 to 916 of the family's 1533-position model. The record is from RNAcentral.
UCCUACGGGAGGCAGCAGUGGGGAAUAUUGCACAAUGGGCGAAAGCCUGAUGCAGCGACGCCGCGUGAGGGAUGACGGCCUUCGGGUUGUAAACCUCUUUCAGUAGGGAAGAAGCGAAAGUGACGGUACCUGCAGAAGAAGCGCCGGCUAACUACGUGCCAGCAGCCACGGUAAUACGUAGGGCGCAAGCGUUAUCCGGAAUUAUUGGGCGUAAAGAGCUCGUAGACGGUUUGUCGCGUCUGCCGUGAAAGUCCGGGGCUCAACUCCGGAUCUGCGGUGGGUACGGGCAGACUAGAGUGAUGUAGGGGAGACUGGAAUUCCUGGUGUAGCGGUGAAAUGCGCAGAUAUCAGGAGGAACACCGAUGGCGAAGGCAGGUCUCUGGGCAUUAACUGACGCUGAGGAGCGAAAGCAUGGGGAGCGAACAGGAUUAGAUACCCUGGUAGUCCAUGCCGUAAACGUUGGGCACUAGGUGUGGGGGACAUUCCACGUUUUCCGCGCCGUAGCUAACGCAUUAAGUGCCCCGCCUGGGGAGUACGGCCGCAAGGCUAAAACUCAAAGGAAUUGACGG